RNAcentral lists this ribosomal RNA (457 nucleotides) under uncultured bacterium. RNAcentral describes it as "bacterial SSU rRNA". It matches the Rfam family "Bacterial small subunit ribosomal RNA", at positions 30 to 507 of the family's 1533-position model. The record is from RNAcentral.
AUUGAACGCUGGCGGCAUGCUUUACACAUGCAAGUCGAACGGUAACAGGCCUUCGGGCGCUGACGAGUGGCGAACGGGUGAGUAAUGCAUCGGAACGUGCCCAGAGGUGGGGGAUAACGCAGCGAAAGCUGUGCUAAUACCUUAUACUCCUUAUUAACAGAAGUUAAUAAGGGAAAGAUUUAUUGGUAAGAGAUUAGCCUGUAUUGUAUCAGUUAGUUGGUGGGGUAAUGGCUUACCAAGACUAUGACACAUAACUGGUUUGAGAGGAUGAUCAGUCACACUGGAACUGAGACACGGUCCAGACUCCUACGGGAGGCAGCAGUGGGGAAUAUUGCACAAUGGACGAAAGUCUGAUGCAGCAACGCCGCGUGGAGGAUGACACAUUUCGGUGCGUAAACUCCUUUUAUAUGAGAAGAUAAUGACGGUAUUAUAUGAAUAAGCACCGGCUAACUCCGUG